AAACUAACAGUACAGUGUGAGGAGAGUCUGACAGCACAGCCAAAACUCCACAUAUUAAACACAUGUCCACUGAGCUAUUCUGCAGUGUGCAAAGAACAUACAGAGAACUGCUGUUACAAAUGGUCAAUAAGUCUCUUGGAUUUAACAUCUAUGAUCUAAAUGAGAGGAACAAACUUGUAAAUAAUUUCCUGGGGCUGUGGUUUUGUAAUGCAGUUGUUGGAUGGCUCCCCUAUAGACUUCCAUUGAAAGAGCAUAACUGUCAUAUGGUUAUAUUGUUAUGCCUUUUGGUCAUUUUAUCUACUCAAGCAAUCGACAGAUAAAUCAACUGAAUACUUAGAGAUGGAGGGUUUGGCAGUGGUGUAUUUUAAUUUACAUUUUUUAAUUUGUCUGUUGUAUCUCGCAGGUUUUUUUUUCAGUGUCUUGCGGCAUGAGCGUUGUGUUUUUAAGACAGCAUGUCAAGUUAUAAAUAGUUCAACUCUUUAAAAAAAAAAAAAAGAAAAAAAGACAACGAGGCUCCUGCAUUCUGUUCUAUUCAGUUGCACUUUGUCUAAAUGUUUUAUAUAAGGAAGAAAGUGUCCUGUGUGAAUGUCCUUAAUACUCUACAAAUAGAUUCUUGCUGCCCCGGAAUGAAUGAGGCAACAUAAAGCAUUGACACAAAUGGAUGUGACAAAUCGGACCGCAAGGUACUGCCAAAAAAAAUGGCUUAACCAAUCACAAAAUGAAAAAUUAUGUUUUUGUACAUUUAUGUAUGGUUAUUACUGGAUUUUAAUCAGUCUGAAAUGUUUUGAAAAAUGUGAAGUCACGCAAUUACUGUGUUUUCAUGACAGAUUCUUGCUGUCACUUCCGAGUACUCUAGUACAUGAACUUGUGCUCGUCCCAAACCGAAGCACAAGUUUAAAUUAUUUUCUGUGGUUAUCAACAACAUGGCAUAGACACUGCAUAUAGAGCUUAACCUGGAACAUUCCUUUAAGAAACUUGCUGGAGAGAUAAAAAUGACAAAUUUCCUGUUUGUGAUGUUUUCUGUUUCCUGUCUGUUAAAAGGUUCUUUAUACGAUGAAUAAGGAGGAAGCGGGAGCUGUUUCCACAGUCCACAGCCACGCCUGUGAGAACACAGCAGAGAACUUUAGAAAGGUUCUGAGAACAUUCCUUCACCAAAGCCUCCUCAAGAUCCCAAACAACCCAUUUCUGUGCCCUUGGGCCAUGGCUUGGGCACCGUCCAGGCAUCAUGAUGAACAGGGGGCAGUGGGGAAUGGUCAGGGCCACUUGACCUACCAUGACCUUGUUUAUUUUUCAGUCAUUGGGGGCAAGCAGGGGGAUGGUUUACACAAACUGCCACAAUAUAACAAGCAUUCCACUGUGAAGGCAGAAGAGUUCCACAUGGACUGCUGAAGAUUCAGGGGGCGAUAUGCAGGAAGACUGCAAAUCACCAAAAACAGAAGAAGGAGAAAGUGAAUGAAAAAGGACUUAAAUAUUGAUCUGUUUCUCACCCACACCUAUCAUAUCACUUCAGAAGAUAUGGAUUUAACCACCAGAGUCGUCUGGAGUACUUUUAUGUUGCCCUUAUGUGGAUUUUGGAGCUUCCAACUUUUGGCACCCAUUCACUUGACUUGUAUGGACCUACAGAGCUGAAAUAUUCUUCUAAAAAUCUUCAUUUAAGUUCAGCAGAUGAAAUUAAGUAAUACACAUCUGGGAUGGCAGGUUAAGUAAAUUAUGUGAGAAUUUUCAUUUUUGGGUGAACUAUCCCUUUAAUACAGGAGUACAAAUGUGGUUAAAUAUAGUCACCACUAAUCAAUAAUCACUAAAACUGCAACAUUUACCUACAUACAGUAUGUUUUACUAAAAUACCUUGGUACAUGUAAAAUGCCAUGCAGGGACUGGAAAUGUUUGGAGUGGUGAUGCAAAUGAAUAAUUGAAUCACAGUUUUUAAAUGAUUAAUUGAAAUGGACAGUUUUCACUGAUCCACUAAAAAAAUGAAUUGAUAUUAAAAUAUUUCUUUUUUUUACACUUUUACACUUGUGAUGUGCAAGACAGGGACAGAUUGUGAAACAAGUAUAAUAACACACUUAAUGGCUUUAAACUUAAUGGCCAAAUUAACAGCACAUUAAAAUCACAUUCAUUAUAUAAAUUAUUAUACAUAAAUGUUAUUAUUAUAAUAUAAAAAUAUAAAAUACAAAUAAAAUAAAAUAUUAAAUAUGAAAAAUAUUACAUCAAUAUACUGUAUGUGUAAUAUUCUAUAGAAAUACUCCUAAAUUCGCAAUUGUGGAUCCAAAAUAAUAAUCUUAAUUCAUAUAGCAUCCGUACACUCAAAACACACUGGAGUUUUGUUUCUAGGAUUGUGUAUGUAUGUUUUUCACCACUUGGUGAAGAGCAUCAAGCUUCCCUUGACUAUAAUAAGGAAGUGGGGAAGGGCGGAGAGAACUGUGGCUGAUGUUCUGUGGUUUGUAUGCGGUGAUGCUUCUGUUGUGCAUCUGUCCAGUGUUUAUAAUUCACAAUGACU
Myxocyprinus asiaticus (Chinese sucker) is the source of this 2497-nucleotide long non-coding RNA. RefSeq lists it as uncharacterized. Lineage: Eukaryota; Metazoa; Chordata; Actinopteri; Cypriniformes; Catostomidae. The record is from RefSeq and is a predicted model, not a curated record. The transcript is spliced from 3 exons.